This 482-nucleotide ribosomal RNA is filed under the name uncultured bacterium. RNAcentral's name for it is "bacterial SSU rRNA". It matches the Rfam family "Bacterial small subunit ribosomal RNA", at positions 30 to 506 of the family's 1533-position model. The record is from RNAcentral.
UUGAACGCUGGCGGAAUGCUUUACACAUGCAAGUCGAACGGCAGCACGGGGGCAACCUUGGUGGCGAGUGGCGAACGGGUGAGUAAUGUAUCGGAACGUACCUAGUCGUGGGGGAUAACUAUCCGAAAGGAUAGCUAAUACCGCAUACGUCCUGAGGGAGAAAGCGGGGGAUCGCAAGACCUCGCGCGAUUGGAGCGGCCGAUAUCGGAUUAGCUAGUUGGUGAGGUAAAGGCUCACCAAGGCGACGAUCCGUAGCGGGUCUGAGAGGAUGAUCCGUCACACUGGAACUGAGACACGGUCCAGACUCCUACGGGAGGCAGCAGUGGGGAAUUUUGGACAAUGGGGGCAACCCUGAUCCAGCCAUUCCGCGUGAGUGAAGAAGGCCUUCGGGUUGUAAAGCUCUUUCAGCCGGAACGAAACGGUACGCUCUAACAUAGCGUGCUAAUGACGGUACCGGCAGAAGAGGCACCGGCUAACUACGU